RNAcentral lists this long non-coding RNA (1252 nucleotides) under Mus spicilegus (steppe mouse). Its description in RNAcentral is "lncRNA (ENSMSIG00000003435.1)". Lineage: Eukaryota; Metazoa; Chordata; Mammalia; Rodentia; Muridae. The record is from RNAcentral.
ACACUAUCUGUUCCCUGGAAUGCAGCGAGCUCAGAUAAAUCUAGAAUGCUUGCAGUUCAGCUUGUACCUGGCUUACAAAAACAUUCAUUGUGACCUUCCCCCUCCCCAGUUGAUGGAUUGCAGCUGCCAUAGGAGGGCUAUGACUUGGCAUUUUCUCCUGGACAGGGACAAUGUACUGCGCACAGUACACACGUGCUGCACGGAGAAGACGGCUUUGUGUCUGGUUGAACCCAGCUGUCGGACUCAGCACACCCUGCUUCGGGGGUGGCUGGAGGCCUGGAAAGGUUUGCGUGUGUAUUGAUACUGCAUUCAGGAAAAGAAAACAACCUUUACUAAAGAGCUGGCAUCUCCCACCCUCACCAACACCAGAGGAUCAUUGGGCGAAGCUGUCACCUUUGGCAGAGUGGCAAGAGCCCCACCAAGCACCCUAACUUUCCACUCCCAGCUUGCUGUGGAGCCGUUUCUCCGCAACGACAGCUUUCAGGCGCCAACUGUGCCUGUGGAAGCCCCGCCCAGCGCCAUUGGCCUCCAUGUUUUAUUGCGCAAGCAUGAGAACAGCCUUGCACAAAGAGUCAGGAAGUGGGAUAUAAAUUUUGGGUUCAGAUAUCUGGAGAACUGAGCUUAAAUACCAGCUGUGAGAGGAAGUGAUGGGACCGGCCAGGUGGCGGGCACCCCAGAAUCAGGCGUCUCCUUUAUCCACUGGGAGGUGGAGUUUCAGUUGAACCUUCCUAUUGGUCCACAGUGUGAUCUUCCUGCAUGUUUGUUGCUAGGUUCCACUGAGAGAGCCCCUGCCGCGUUCUUCCAGUAAUUCUGCUUCUCUCGCUACAGUUUUAAGUUUCAUGCUCCAGCAACUGAGCUAGUGGGACGCUGGUAUACCACACUUUAAACAGCCAUGUGGUAUCAUCCUUUGUUUAAACGAAGAGUGUCAUUCUCACAAAUAUAGGUAGUUCAGAAAGUACUGAGAUUUAGGGAUAAUGUGAUUUCGUGGUCAACCGAACAAAUUUUCCUUAGUAGUCGCCAGAGCGUUCAGUCUGCAUCCACGCCAUUGUUACUGUUUUUUCUCAUGAUCAGAUUUGAAAUGUCCAAGCGAUCCUGCUUAUAAAACUGUCUUGUUCUACUGAGUGGAAUGGGCAGGCCAGUUUCCCAACUCCAGCCACAGGAGGGCGCACAGAGACAUUAACAAUGAGGGUUGGCAUUACAUUUUGGGGUGUCCUGAGUUAAAUAAAAGAGCUUGGGCACUGUUCUACUGUCA